UUUUCGGCAAUGGGGGAAACCCUGCCGGAGCAACGCCGCGUGAGCGAAGAAGGCCUUCGGGUCGUAAAGCUCUGUUGUAAAGGAAGAACGGCGCAUACAGGAAAUGGUAUGCGAGUAACGGUACUUUACCAAAAAGCCAGGGCUAACUACGUGCCAGUAGCCGCGGUAAUACGUAGGUGGCGAGCGUUAUCCGGAAUCAUUGGGCGUAAAGAGGGAGCAGGCGGCCGCAAGGGUCUGUGGUGAAAGACCGAAGCUAAACUUCGGUAAGCCAUGGAAACCGGGCGGCUAGAGUGCGGAAGAGGAUCGUGGAAUUCCAUGUGUAGCGGUGAAAUGCGUAGAUAUAUGGAGGAACACCAGUGGCGAAGGCGACGGUCUGGGCCGCAACUGACGCUCAUUCCCGAAAGCGUGGGGAGCAAAUAGG
RNAcentral lists this ribosomal RNA (421 nucleotides) under uncultured bacterium. RNAcentral's name for it is "bacterial SSU rRNA". It matches the Rfam family "Bacterial small subunit ribosomal RNA", at positions 362 to 776 of the family's 1533-position model. The record is from RNAcentral.